AACACUCUGGCGUUCCGUCA
RNAcentral lists this microRNA (20 nucleotides) under Ciona intestinalis (vase tunicate). RNAcentral describes it as "cin-miR-4061-3p". Lineage: Eukaryota; Metazoa; Chordata; Ascidiacea; Phlebobranchia; Cionidae. The record is from miRBase by way of RNAcentral.